This 497-nucleotide ribosomal RNA is filed under the name uncultured bacterium. RNAcentral's name for it is "partial 16S ribosomal RNA". It matches the Rfam family "Bacterial small subunit ribosomal RNA", at positions 28 to 507 of the family's 1533-position model. The record is from RNAcentral.
GAUGAACGCUGGCGGCGUGCCUAAUACAUGCAAGUCGAGCGAACAGAUGAGGAGCUUGCUCCUCUGACGUUAGCGGCGGACGGGUGAGUAACACGUGGAUAACCUACCUAUAAGACUGGGAUAACUUCGGGAAACCGGAGCUAAUACCGGAUAAUAUAUUUAACCGCAUGGUUCAAUAGUGAAAGACGGUUUUGCUGUCACUUAUAGAUGGAUCCGCGCCGCAUUAGCUAGUUGGUAAGGUAACGGCUUACCAAGGCAACGAUGAGUAGCCGACCUGAGAGGGUGAUCGGCCACACUGGAACUGAGAAACGGUCCAGACUCCAACGGGAGGCAGAAGUAGGGAAUCUUCCGCAAUGGGCGAAAGCCUGACGGAGAAACGCCGCGUGAGUGAUGAAGGUCUUCGGAUCGUAAAACUCUGUUAUUAGGGAAGAACAAAUGUGUAAGUAACUAUGCACGUCUUGACGGUACCUAAUCAGAAAGCCACGGCUAACUACGUG